Molecule: ribosomal RNA, 477 nt
Filed under: uncultured bacterium
Lineage: Bacteria
Description: bacterial SSU rRNA
Rfam family: Bacterial small subunit ribosomal RNA
Source: RNAcentral
GAACGUUGGCGGCGUGCUUAAUACAUGCAAGUCAACUGAAGCACCGGUAGUAAUACUGGUGUGGAGGUGGCGCACGGGUGAGUAACACGUAGGUAAUCUGCCUUCAGGUCUGACAUAACCCCGAGAAAUCGGGGCUAAUAGCAGAUGAUGCAGCGGCUUGACAUCAAGACAGUUGUUAAAGCUUCGGCGCCUGAAGAUGAGCCUGCGUCUGAUUAGCUAGUUGGCGGAGUAAUAGCCCACCAAGGCGACGAUCAGUAGCUGGUCUGAGAGGAUGAUCAGCCACACUGGAACUGAGACACGGUCCAGACUCCUACGGGAGGCAGCAGUAAGGAAUAUUGCUCAAUGGGAGAAAUCCUGAAGCAGCAACGCCGCGUGAGGGAUGAAGGGCUUUUGCUCGUAAACCUCUGUAGUGAGGGAAAAAUUUCCAUCCUAUGGAAUAUGAUGGUACCUCAAAAGUAAGCCCCGGCUAACUACGUG